This 305-nucleotide unclassified non-coding RNA is filed under the name plant metagenome. RNAcentral's name for it is "partial contains 5.8S ribosomal RNA, internal transcribed spacer 2, and large subunit ribosomal RNA". The stretch from base 1 to 105 matches the Rfam family "5.8S ribosomal RNA", at positions 50 to 154 of the family's 154-position model. The record is from RNAcentral.
GAAAUGCGAUAAGUAAUGUGAAUUGCAGAAUUCAGUGAAUCAUCGAAUCUUUGAACGCACAUUGCGCCCGCCAGUAUUCUGGCGGGCAUGCCUGUUCGAGCAUCAUUUCAACCAUCAAGCCCCCGGCUUGUGUUGGGGACCUGCGGCUGCCCGCAGGCCCUGAAAAACAGUGGCGGGCUCGCUGUCACACCGAGCGUAGUAGCAUACAUUCUCGCUCAGGGCGUGCUGCGGGUUCCGGCCGUUAAACGACCUUCAUAACCCAAGGUUGACCUCGGAUCAGGUAGGAAGACCCGCUGAACUUAAGC